This 253-nucleotide ribosomal RNA is filed under the name uncultured bacterium. RNAcentral's name for it is "partial 16S ribosomal RNA". It matches the Rfam family "Bacterial small subunit ribosomal RNA", at positions 524 to 776 of the family's 1533-position model. The record is from RNAcentral.
UACGGAGGGUGCAAGCGUUAAUCGGAAUUACUGGGCGUAAAGCGUGCGCAGGCGGCUAUGCAAGACAGAUGUGAAAUCCCCGGGCUCAACCUGGGAACUGCAUUUGUGACUGCAUGGCUAGAGUACGGCAGAGGGGGAUGGAAUUCCGCGUGUAGCAGUGAAAUGCGUAGAUAUGCGGAGGAACACCGAUGGCGAAGGCAAUCCCCUGGGCCUGUACUGACGCUCAUGCACGAAAGCGUGGGGAGCAAACAGG